This is a long non-coding RNA of Limulus polyphemus (Atlantic horseshoe crab), 99 nucleotides long. RefSeq lists it as uncharacterized. NCBI's taxonomy places the organism in Eukaryota, Metazoa, Arthropoda, Merostomata, Xiphosura, Limulidae. The record is from RefSeq and is a predicted model, not a curated record. The transcript has 3 exons.
CUAUCUUCAUCAGGGUUAGUAUAAAGAUCGUUGUUUUUAAACUUUUUAUGAAAAUAUGUAAAUCCCUCCAUUACGCACUACAAAUCUUGAAAGACAACG